GUGUCAAGUUUCCCGGCUGACUCAACUGGUUGCCAAAUGGUGCGUGAGAUGUCACGGGACAUUAGCCGGUAGGCUACUCUGCACCGGGCUUUUACCCAAAGUGCCAAAAUCUGCCCCUUCUUUACGUUUAGGGUGUUCAUUCAAACUGGUUUCCAUGUUGGUUUUGAAGGCGCCACAAAAGUAAAGUCCUUGAUUAAUCACCUUUAUCUAAACUGUUAUUCAUUCACCUUUACAAACAUGCACGUCAGGCGGCAUCUGGCAGGUUCGCACAUUUUACUGGACGGUACUAAUAUCUGUACCUUGGCUGACAGAAAUAACCAACACGAAGCCAAACAGUUCCGAAACGGUAUUGUGGAAUAGGUGCGAGUCAGAGUCACUGGGUCAGGGCUGAGUGAGACGAAACUACAAUCUCAGAGACGUCUCAGGCAAACAGGCUUAACCUUACAGGAUCUGCUCACCUUUGUACAGAAUAACCUUUCGCACAGUUUGCGGAAUUAAAGACACACGGAGCAUGCGCAAAAUAUUUCGCCUUUUUUCCAUUUAGCGCACGCGACUUUCUUGCAGGCUUUUUUAGUCUUCACAAAUGUGGGUCGGGUCAGAGCAGAAAUGCACCACUUAUGGAGAUAUUAAAUUUUAGUGACAGUGCACUUGGAUCUUUAGAAUUAGCUGAAACGAAAGAAAACAUAAGUACACUUUUAAUUAGCAUCCUGCAAGUCAUCGUCGGACUCCUGGCUUCACAGAAGCAAAUGGGUAUUUCAGUCCCACUCCAUUUGCUGCUGUCAUCAGAUCCAGUAUCGUCGACCAGCUUGAUUUAUUUCAUACCAGAGCCUAUCUGGAUAGAUCCAGUUCCUUCUUGACCGUUACCAUGACCCCCCCUCCCUAAACCCUAAGAGGCCAUUCUUAGCCAAUCAAAAACAUUUAUUUCUUGAAUCUUAUUACGAUGCUAAACUUUCUUUUAGCUAUAAAAUGUUACCGAUACAGAGGCAUAGUAGACCCUGUGGUGGUGAAUUGUGGGAAAUGGGAGCGACUGUAAGGUAAGGUGUUUCUCACGUGGGGAGCAUGACACCGUCACAUGUAGGAAAGGGGAAAUGAGUACGAUCUAAUUGAGCUUCGGCUUUCUGCUAUAUUAAGGACUGGCUGUGUCUGAACUGUGGUCUCCAUGGCUGCCGCGAAACUAAUUAUCUACGGCAGUGUUUCACAACCGGGUCCUCAUGGACCCCUAGAUAGCCCAUAAUUUUGCUCCCUGUCAGAUAGUCCGCAUUUUUGCGGAGCAGGGAGGGAGCAAAAACAUGGACUGCCUCUUAUUAGCGGGUUAAAGUGACAAACUGGCACCUACUCAGUUCCCGGAGGUGUCCUGAUAUGCCUGAAGCGCGUAGGUAAUACAUUCAGUAACCUGCUUGAUUCAAGAUAAGUUCUGCGCUGUGGUGAUAAACAAGAGGUCUCGUUGCGAAAGUCCCAGAAACAGAAAAUGACACGUCAGGUUUUUCUCAGAUUCUACCCAAGAUCCUUUCUCCUCCCUUUGUUUUUGUGUAACAUUCCUGUUUUCAAUCAUUAAAAAGGGGCUGACAGAUCCAUCCAUCCAGAGUUGAAGGCGAAACAAACUUGUAAAACAAGGGGACCGUCUCCAAGCAACGGGUUACACUGCACAGCUUGGGGUUUCCUGUUGAACCAGUCAGAUAUCCGGACAUCGUACCUUCUAACAUUUUGCAAAUUUCAUGGUGUAGGCAUAGUCUAGCUUUUUCAGUCAUACCUAUUUCUGUGUUCUUAAAUAAUUGUGGUAUUAUAAUGUUAUGGCCUUAAUGCUAAGUACUUGAAAAUUUCGAAUAUACAGAGAACUGUAGAAUUUUAUUAAUGUGACUCAAUAGCAAAGAUCUGUUUGGAUGAAUAUCAGUCCUGUUUAAUGUUUCACGUUGAUGAUGUCAGAAGAUUAUGCUGGUGACUAGUCAGACCAGGUAGAACAGUAACUCACCCAUUCCAGGUUGGUUUGCCCAUCCUAGGAGUAAACUUAACUAGAUGGGUUGACAUCACCUCACUGCCCAUUUUCUUUACGAGGGCCCAGUGAGGCACAGAACAUCUCUACUGGCACUGCAAAUAGUGUAAAGGACAGAACCAGAUAAGCCGCUGUCUUUCCAAGAAUUCUGUGGACAUGUUUCUCCAGUGAACUGGACCAUCAGCACCUGUGAGGAUGAGCAGCGUCCAUUCAGCAAAGCCUUUUCACAGAGUCUAAGACAACAGACCAUGUUUGAUGACAGCCAGACAGGAGCCUCAAGAUAAAAGGGCAGGAACCAGAAGAUGCAAGGUGAAGAAUCUUGAAGGACUCAUCCUACCUUGUGGCAGCCUGAUUGCUCAGUAAUUGAAACCACUCCUGAAAGCCUAGCAGAGAGGCCGCCUCCCGUAAACACCAGUGCUGGGUGAGCACUUCUCUGCGUCCAAUCAUAGCUGAGGCAGCGCUACAGAGGUCCCCUCUAUCCCCUCCUCAGGGCGUGUUGCUAGGCAGGAAUAGCAGACACGGAAUGGCAGUCCUUAAGAAGUGAAAUGGAAAAUGCCAGCAAAGCAGUCAGCGGGGAAAAGAACGCGAUAACCUGUGAAACACCGUUUCGAGAUGUUCUGUCUCAGUAGAGCACUGUUUUGUCCUUAAACAUUACCAUUACUGUUUUUUUAUUAACAUCAAGCUAUUGAAUAUAACAACUUAAACUUACGACUCAGCCUGAGAAAACCCGAGUUGGUAUUUGUGCUGUAUUUACGCUGACGUUUCCUUUAUACCAGAAUACAUUUACAAAACACUUACGCUUUAGCAAUCAAAACAGGGAUACUGGCGGUAAUGAUUGUAAACAAAGAACGUUUACAAAUAUACACUGGACGAUUAAAUAAGUAACAGUUGAAUAAAGUGCUGUAAUGUCUAAAAACUGGAACAAUUUAGGCCACUAGUGCAAACCUGUAAUGUAAAAGAUGAGAGCUUUUUGUAUGAGGUCUUACAAAAAUCCGCGGUUGUGAGGAAGACAAGAUCUAAUCGCGAAAAUGUCUCAGUUUGGCACAAUAUGGAGACGUCGCUGUCUGUGUGAAAUUGCCAACCCCUGCGUCCUUCAGUUGUAUAACGGCAGUGGAUCGUACAAAGUUUACUGUGACUCGGAUAAAUACAGUUCAGUACGUCCAGCGACCGUGACCCGCGUAGCCUGGAAGAUGAAUGAGUUCUUUCCAUCCAAAAGGCGCCAGAGUUUCAUUUAAAGGAAAACAGCAUUAGCUGUACACGUCGACAAAUAAAUACUAUUCGGUUAAAUUGUA
Long non-coding RNA from Brienomyrus brachyistius, 3282 nucleotides. RefSeq lists it as uncharacterized. The transcript has 4 exons. The record is from RefSeq and is a predicted model, not a curated record. NCBI's taxonomy places the organism in Eukaryota, Metazoa, Chordata, Actinopteri, Osteoglossiformes, Mormyridae.